GAUGAACGCUGGCGGCGUGCCUAAUACAUGCAAGUCGAGCGAACAGACGAGGAGCUUGCUCCUCUGCCGUUAGCGGCUGACGGGUGAGUAACACGUAGAUAACCUACCUAUAAUACUGGGAUAACUUCGGGAAACCGGUGCUACUACCGGAUAAUAUAUUGAACCGCAUGGUUCAAUAGUGAAAGACGCUUUUGCUGACACUUAUAGACGGAUCCGCGCCGCAUUGGCUAGUUGGUAAGGUAACGGCCUACCAACGCAACGGUGCUUAUCCGACCUGAGAGGGUGAUCCGGCACACUGGAAAUGAGAACAGGUCCAAAACCCUACGGGGGGCAGCAGUGGGGAAAACUGGAGAAUGGGGGGAAGCCCGACCGGAGCAACCCGGCGGGGUGGAGAAGGGCUUUCGGUUCUAAAACCCUUUUAUUAGGGAAGAACAAAUGUGUAAGUAACUAUGCACGUCUUGACGGUACCUAAUCAGAAAGCAACGGCUAACUACGUG
Molecule: ribosomal RNA, 497 nt
Filed under: uncultured bacterium
Lineage: Bacteria
Description: partial 16S ribosomal RNA
Rfam family: Bacterial small subunit ribosomal RNA
Source: RNAcentral